UUAGCUAGUUGGUGGGGUAAGAGCCUACCAAGGCGACGAUCAGUAGCUGGUCUGAGAGGAUGAUCAGCCACACUGGGACUGAGACACGGCCCAGACUCCUACGGGAGGCAGCAGUGGGGAAUUUUCCGCAAUGGGCGCAAGCCUGACGGAGCAAGACCGCGUGCGGGAGGACGGCCUAUUGGUUGUAAACCGCUUUUGAUAGGGAAGAAACUCUGACGGUACCUAUCGAAUCAGCAUCGGCUAACUCCGUGCCAGCAGCCGCGGUAAUACGGAGGAUGCAAGCGUUAUCCGGAAUUAUUGGGCGUAAAGCGUCCGUAGGUGGUUGUUCAAGUCUGCUGUUAAAGCGUGCGGCUUAACCGCAUACCAGCAGUGGAAACUGGACGACUAGAGUGCGGUAGGGGUCAGGGGAAUUCCCAGUGUAGCGGUGAAAUGCGUAGAUAUUGGGAAGAACACCGGUGGCGAAAGCGCCUGACUGGACCUGCACUGACACUG
Molecule: ribosomal RNA, 492 nt
Filed under: uncultured Oscillatoriales cyanobacterium
Lineage: Bacteria; Bacillati; Cyanobacteriota; Cyanophyceae; Oscillatoriales
Description: bacterial SSU rRNA
Rfam family: Bacterial small subunit ribosomal RNA
Source: RNAcentral